UUUGUCGCGUCUGCUGUGAAAUCCCGAGGCUCAACCUCGGGCCUGCAGUGGGNACGGGCAGACUAGAGUGCGGUAGGGGAGAUUGGAAUUCCUGGUGUAGCGGUGGAAUGCGCAGAUAUCAGGAGGAACACCGAUGGCGAAGGCAGAUCUCUGGGCCGUAACUGACGCUGAGGAGCGAAAGGGUGGGGAGCAAACAGGCUUAGAUACCCUGGUAGUCCACCCCGUAAACGUUGGGAACUAGUUGUGGGGACCAUUCCACGGUUUCCGUGACGCAGCUAACGCAUUAAGUUCCCCGCCUGGGGAGUACGGCCGCAAGGCUAAAACUCAAAGGAAUUGACGGGGACCCGCACAAGCGGCGGAGCAUGCGGAUUAAUUCGAUGCAACGCGAAGAACCUUACCAAGGCUUGACAUAUACGAGAACGGGCCAGAAAUGGUCAACUCUUUGGACACUCGUAAACAGGUGGUGCAUGGUUGUCGUCAGCUCGUGUCGUGAGAUGUUGGGUUAAGUCCCGCAACGAGCGCAACCCUCGUUCUAUGUUGCCAGCACGUAAUGGUGGGAACUCAUGGGAUACUGCCGGGGUCAACUCGGAGGAAGGUGGGGAUGACGUCAAAUCAUCAUGCCCCUUAUGUCUUGGGCUUCACGCAUGCUACAAUGGCCGGUACAAAGGGCUGCAAUACCGUGAGGUGGAGCGAAUCCCAAAAAGCCGGUCCCAGUUCGGAUUGAGGUYUGCAACUCGACCUCAUGAAGUCGGAGUCGCUAGUAAUCGCAGAUCAGCAACGCUGCGGUGAAUACGUUCCCGGGUCUUGUACACACCGCCCGUCAAGUCAUGAAAGUCGGUAACACCUGAAGCCGGGGCCCAACCCUUGUGAGGGAGCCUCGAA
Molecule: ribosomal RNA, 882 nt
Filed under: Microbacterium sp. DP_aq_172
Lineage: Bacteria; Bacillati; Actinomycetota; Actinomycetes; Micrococcales; Microbacteriaceae
Description: bacterial SSU rRNA
Rfam family: Bacterial small subunit ribosomal RNA
Source: RNAcentral